CGUGAGCAAUCUGCCGAUCUCUGGGGGAUAGCCGGCCCAACGGCCGGGUAAUACCGCAUACGAUCACCGAGGGGAGUCCCUUGGUGAUGAAACCUCCGGGGGAGAUCGAGGAGCUCGCGCCCUAUCAGCUAGUUGGUGAGGUAAUGGCUCACCAAGGCUACGACGGGUAGCUGGUCUGAGAGGAUGGCCAGCCACAUUGGGACUGCGACACGGCCCAG
This 218-nucleotide ribosomal RNA is filed under the name uncultured bacterium. RNAcentral describes it as "partial 16S ribosomal RNA". It matches the Rfam family "Bacterial small subunit ribosomal RNA", at positions 116 to 334 of the family's 1533-position model. The record is from RNAcentral.